AGUGAACGCUGGCGGUAGGCCUAACACAUGCAAGUCGAACGGCAGCACAGUAAGAGCUUGCUCUUACGGGUGGCGAGUGGCGGAUGGGUGGGGAAUACAUCGGAAUCUACUUUUUAGCGGGGGCUAACGUAGGGAAACUUACGCUAAUACAGCAUAUGAUCUACGAGUGAAAGAAGGAGAUCUUCGGACCUUGCGCGAUUGAAUGAGCCGAAGUCGGAUUAGCUAGUUGGCGGGGUAAAGGCCUACCAAGGCGACGAUCCGUAGCUGGUCUGAGAGGAUGAUCAGCCACACUGGAACUGAGACACGGUCCAGACUCCUACGGGAGGCAGCAGUGGGGAAUAUUGGACAAUGGGCGCAAGCCUGAUCCAGCCAUACCGCGUGGGUGAAGAAGGCCUUCGGGUUGUAAAGCCCUUUUGUUGGGAAAGAAAAGCAGCAGGUUAAUACCCCGCUGUUCUGACGGUACCCAAAGAAUAAGCACCGGCUAACUUCGUG
Molecule: ribosomal RNA, 492 nt
Filed under: uncultured bacterium
Lineage: Bacteria
Description: partial 16S ribosomal RNA
Rfam family: Bacterial small subunit ribosomal RNA
Source: RNAcentral